Long non-coding RNA from Ictalurus punctatus (channel catfish), 1369 nucleotides. The record is from Ensembl. Lineage: Eukaryota; Metazoa; Chordata; Actinopteri; Siluriformes; Ictaluridae.
GUUUUUGUGUAUAUUUGAUACUAAAUAGUUUUAGAUCUUCAAACUUGAUUGAUAAACUAUUCUACUUUUCUGUCAAGACUACACUCAUAAUAAUCAAACGUCUGGCAGAGAAAUGGUUAAUGGAUAGUGAAACAUGGGAGUGAUACAGUACAUUGUGGAGCAUAAAAGCAUGCUAUAAUUCUUCCAGCACAAAACAAUCCAUCAGCUCUGCUCAAAAGAUCAACCUCAGGUGGUUACAGGGAUCAGCUACGGCUGCCAAAAAUGAUCUCUCUCACUGUUCAUUUUUUUCCCCUUGAAUUUUUCACGUUAAAAAUGUCUAAGGCAUGCAUUUUACAGAAUGACAGAUAGAAAGAAAUGUACCACUUCUAUUUUCAGUAAGAUAUAGUUAUCAGAUCUCGGUUUCUGAUAUGUAGUCAAUACUGACAUCCUCUUAAUAACUGAGCUGAAUGUCUGUAAGCGUCUCUUGCCAGCUCAUAUGAAACAUCACAGAUGCAGUGAUUCUUGCUUUAAGACAGAAUAUAUCCUGUCUUCAUGUGCAUGACUUGUGCUGUGUCAGUCAACACAGUAAGUAUUCACAGGAUACAACACGUCAGCGGAAUAAAUCGGAAAAACAUCAGCUCUAAUCAUGUAUCGAUUCAAUGUUUCAGGUUAGCAUCAGCUCUGAUACAGAUAUAUAGAUACAUAUUCACUAGGUUCUAUGCUGUAAUUGUUUGAUACUUUUAUCAGGAAAGGGUAAAGAGAUUCUGUUCCAAGAUAGUUUUCAUAACACUCCUGAUGGAACAGCACACAUCCCUCCUUUGUGGCUCACAUUUCUUUUAAAAAAUAUCUAUGUACAGUAAUAGAUGGUCAGAUCAGAUGAUCAUUGUUUACAAUGUUCUGAUAGACUCUGAUCUGACUGAUGAAAAAAAAAAAGUCCUGUGAGGUCCUUGCUUCUCUCCACCAUUUAGUGAACUGUAUCUGUGGCUCCUUGAGCCUUGACAAAGCCCCCGAGUGCACAACACAAUUACAGCAGUGCAUGUACUCAUGCACUGAAGAUGACCAUGAUCCGGCUGCUGUGGACUGACGCGACUGGAUCGCACAUGAAUAUACAGAAAUGAUGGAUGAUAAUAAAAUUCCAUGACCCAUGCAUAUGGGAAAAAAACCCCCAGAUAAUUAGCUAUGUCUAUAAAGUCAAUGAGAAUGUGCUUUGCUGCUACAGAUGAAGCUACUUACGUACACCGUCCCUCUGCAUUUACUCUGCACUGGUGGAACUACAGUACACCAAUACUGUAUGCAGAAGGAGAAAUGAUGAUGUAUUUAUUGAUAAUUCAGACUCUUCUACACAUUGGUUAUUGUGCUUUAUCUUUUAUAGAUCAGCCUGAUAUUUUCA